Molecule: unclassified non-coding RNA, 201 nt
Filed under: plant metagenome
Description: partial contains small subunit ribosomal RNA, internal transcribed spacer 1, and 5.8S ribosomal RNA
Source: RNAcentral
UUUCCGUAGGUGAACCAGCGGAGGGAUCAUUAUCGAGUUUAUAACUCCCAAACCCUAUGUGAACUUACCACUUGUUGCUUCGGCGCGCGCUUCGGCGCCGCCGAGGACACUUAAACUCUUUGUUUUCAUAAGCAUUUCUGAGUGGCCGAAAGGCAAAAUACAAAUGAAUCAAAACUUUCAACAACGGAUCUCUUGGUUCUG